Molecule: ribosomal RNA, 253 nt
Filed under: uncultured bacterium
Lineage: Bacteria
Description: partial 16S ribosomal RNA
Rfam family: Bacterial small subunit ribosomal RNA
Source: RNAcentral
GACAGAGGUUGCAAACGUUGCUCGGAAUCACUGGGCGUAAAGCGCGUGUAGGCGGGAAGGAAAGUCGGUUGUGAAAUCCCUGAGCUCAACUCAGGAACUGCAUCCGAAACUUCUUUUCUUGAGUGUCGGAGAGGGGAGUGGAAUUCCUGGUGUAGAGGUGAAAUUCGUAGAUAUCAGGAGGAACAUCAGUGGCGAAGGCGGCUCCCUGGACGACAACUGACGCUGAGACGCGAAAGCGUGGGUAGCAAACAGG